Molecule: long non-coding RNA, 1284 nt
Filed under: Bos indicus x Bos taurus (hybrid cattle)
Lineage: Eukaryota; Metazoa; Chordata; Mammalia; Artiodactyla; Bovidae
Description: lncRNA (ENSBIXG00005017661.1)
Source: RNAcentral
AUUCCUCCUCAGAGGGCCAGGGCCCUCAGGACAGAGCCCGGGAGGCUGACCCUGCAACUCCAGAGGCCCCGGGGUUUUCACUUUCACUUCUGCUCCUUUCCCAAUGCCGGCCUCUCCCUCGGACUCAGCACCUGCCCACUGCCUUCCAGUGUUCGCCCAGGUAUACGGGAAGACUCCUCGGGUGCAUGGGACAACCACGGGCACCCGCACACACCAGGACCUCGCACAGCCCGCCCAUCCGCCGCCAGUGCCCCUGGGGACGCCCCGUACGCCCCUCUGGGUGCUGACCGCCAGCACACGCUCGCCUCCUGCAGCAGCAGCCCCCCUGCCAGCUGGUCCUUCGACCUGGGCUCUAGAGGCCCCUGGCUGGCCCUGCUGCGGGGGUGGCCGGCGGAGGGGGCGGGGAGCCCAAGCCCAGCUGCUCUCGCAUCACCCGACUCCCUGAACCUGCUUCCUGGCCGCACAGAUCACGGCCAUGACCACCCCGCGGGGAGGGCACCCCCCUGGCAACAUUGCGCCUUCCCAGCUUGGUCCACAGAGCUGCAGGGGCUGUCCGGGGGGAGGGGCGGGGCUCAGCGCUCACGAGGUCACGGUCGCCCACCCCGUCACACAGCAGGGCCCACGUGCUCACCGCCUCCACGCCAGGCUGCGCCAGUCCUGAGCCUCAGGCCCGGGAGCCCCGUGCUUCCAGCUGGAGCGGCUCCCAGGACCCCCCUCCGGUUCUGGGCCAGCACGCCCUCCACCCUGGGGAUCCAACAACCCCCAGAGAGGCUGCUGCCUCCCGCUCCAUCCAGGCGAAGCAGCAGAGGCCUUGGAGACAGGCCUGAGGGCCAGAGGCUCAGCCCAGGGCCCAAGCAAGUCCUGGGUCCCAGAGGCCUAGCGCCCUGCAAGGGGGGCGUCUGGGCUGGGCGGCCAUGGAGGCCCCAAACUGGGCAGAGGCGGCCCCGGAGGCAGGAGGUGCGGGCAGGGGCGGGCCGCGUCAGGCUUAGCAUCCGGGAAGCCUGGGCCUGCAGGCCCAAGUGGGCAGCCGGGCCUUCUAGAAGGGCAGGCUGGCCGCGGGGCGGGCGAGGGGCAGCGAGCAACCGGACCCGGCCUCGGCCUGAAUUCCUCCGACGUGUCCUCGGCUCCCUCGGCCAGUCCAGGCCCCGCCCCCGGCCCUCCCUGCGACCGGCCGGUGCUCGGGGAGGUCGGAGGAGCGGGCACUGCCCACCCUCCGGAUGUAUAAGCCUCCCGGCCAGGGGCGGGCGGUGCGCGGGUGCGCGUGACGCUCGGUUCCCGGGCUAG